UGAGGAAUAUUGGUCAAUGGACGAGAGUCUGAACCAGCCAAGUAGCGUGAAGGAUGAAGGCCCUAUGGGUCGUAAACUUCUUUUAUAGGGGAAUAAAGUGCGGAACGUGUUCCGCUUUGUAUGUACCCUACGAAUAAGGAUCGGCUAACUCCGUGCCAGCAGCCGCGGUAAUACGGAGGAUCCGAGCGUUAUCCGGAUUUAUUGGGUUUAAAGGGAGCGUAGGUGGAUGUAUAAGUCAGUUGUGAAAGUUUGCGGCUCAACCGUAAAAUUGCAGUUGAUACUGUAUGUCUUGAGUGUACAAGAGGUGGGCGGAAUUCGUGGUGUAGCGGUGAAAUGCUUAGAUAUCACGAAGAACUCCGAUUGCGAAGGCAGCUCACUAGAGUACAACUGACACUGAGGCUCGAAAGUGUGGGUAUCAAACA
This 422-nucleotide ribosomal RNA is filed under the name uncultured Bacteroides sp. Its description in RNAcentral is "partial 16S ribosomal RNA". It matches the Rfam family "Bacterial small subunit ribosomal RNA", at positions 355 to 774 of the family's 1533-position model. The record is from RNAcentral. Lineage: Bacteria; Pseudomonadati; Bacteroidota; Bacteroidia; Bacteroidales; Bacteroidaceae.